UUAGAUUUGUUGCCAGAAGGAGAUGAACAAAAACAACUAGGUCUAAUUAGACGGUGGGGCAGCACAAUCAUAUAAACUUAUGAAAACAAGUUCUCGUGUUAGCAUGAGUAAGGCAAGGUAAAACAAGAGAAGGUAACAUGCUACUCCUCGACCCCGAAAGGUACCUUCUAUGAGAAAUUGGAAGAUGUCUCCCUUUUUUACACUUGGGUCAUUGAGAAAAGUGCGUGGUCCAGUUUGCUUGCAAUGUCCCCGAAAACUGGCAAAGCAACUGAGUAUGAAGAACACAAUAGAAAAUCCUCGGCAAUAGAUGAAACAAAGGAACCCUCUUAUUCAAUUCCUAAUUUGUUGAUACCACCAACUACACAACCCUAAAAAUAACAAAAUUUUAAAUCUUUAACUAGAAAUAGCACAAACCUACAAACAAAAACCAAUCCAAGACUAAAAAUUAAGUUUUCUAUGUAACUCUAGUUUAUAUUUGCAAUUAAGUUUUGAAUUUUAAUAAUAUUUGCAUUUAAGUAACAAUAUUUCAUUCUAAUUAUGUUUUUAAUUCUAAGCAGUUGUAAGAGAAAACAAAGGAGAGGAAAAUACUCCAAUUAAGGUAUUUUCCAACCUCAAAAUUGUUAAACUUGGUUUUUAUGUGUUCAAUUGACAAAGGGAUUUAUUUGAUGGUGAUAAAAAGCCUUAACAUAGCAGAAGAAAGAAGAUCAAGAAUUCAAUAAUAUAAAGAUUUUUUUAUUUGGUUGGGUUUUAAAGGUUUUUUUGGCUAAUUUAGAUGUAUUUUAAGAUUGAAAAUGAGUUUAUAGAGGUCGUUAGCAUAAUGUUUUAAUGUUUGGAGGGGAAAAUGAAAGAUUUAAAUUUGCACGACCAAAACUAUCAGUUUAAAAUUAAUAAAUUGCCACAAUUUUGUUUUGUUAAAAAAAAGCUAGCUGCUGAAAAUCUUACCCUAUGUUAAAAAAAAGAACCUGACCAUACCCGUAUAAAAUAAACUACAAAUUAAUGACAUAAUUAAAUGAGUCUUAGACCUGAAGAGAGAAAGAAAAAGGUGAUGGGUGGGAUCAAUUUUUUAGAACAGGGCUUCACUAGGAGAGGAAGUGCUUGUUACAAGCAUUUCAAUUUUAACUACGAGAGUGUAAUGGGACAUGUGGAAGUGGAUCUCUAAAAUUGGUGAUGUUUUGCAAACCCAUGAUAAGUGUAACAACCCGGCUGUACGACUUGAUCAAUAUUAAAAGAUUCCAACAUAUUCUCUUAAUUUGAGGGUAAAUUUUUUUAAAAAAAAUCUACCAAAAAUUCGGUAGAGUCACUACCAGAAAUUCGCUAAAUACCAACGGAUUUACAGACGGAAUAUUUCUGUCGGUAAUUUGAGGUCGAAAUUACCGACGGACACUUUUCCGUCUGUAAUUCAGUCGGUAACUAUCGACGGACCAUUUUCCGUCCGUAAUUCAGUCGGUAACUACCGACGGAAAAUUUCCGUCGGUAGUUACCGACUGAAUUACGGACAGAAAAGUUUCCGAAUUAAAAAAAAAGGCAGGUCGCUGACGUGGAGGUUUUGGCGGGUUAUUUUUUUCUGACAAAAUCACCGACAGAUUCAAAACGACAGCCCGUACAGUGACGUGAUAGGUUCGCCGUUUAAAUUGCCGACGGACUCACCGAGGGAUUUGAAAUGGCAGAUCCGUACGGUGAUGUGUCUAUGUGUCCGUCAGAAUCACCGACAGAGUGUCCGUCCGUGAAACCAUCGGAAAAAGUUAAUAUAUGUACAUGUCAGCUCUGCUGACCCUCUCCUCCCCUAUUUCUCCUUCUUCUUCUUAAUCCCAACUCUCCCCAUCUGCAAACAACCAGCCCCCACUCCCCCUCCCCCCAAAAAACAAUCUUCCUCAUAUCAGCACAACAAGUUAUAUUUCUUGAAGUUUUGUAGUCACAGCAUCCGUGUUCUGAUUUACCGACGGAUUUUAUCAAUUUUUGUAAGUAAUUCUAUCUUUUUAAAUUUUAACAUUUAAUUAAAUGUCAAUUUUAUUGUUUUUUUAGUAUAUGUAUUUUGUUAGUAUAUGAAUUACAUGUGCUAUUUUGAAAUAAUUAAUAGCUUGCUUAAUGGGUCCGUUUAAAGUUUUAUCAAUGGUAUUGCGGACUGGUAAUUUCUGUAAAUUUAUAUAUUUUAAUUCGUAUGGACGUUGAUAAAUAAUUAUGAAUAUUUAAUAUUUAUGAGAAGUUGUGAUUGGUUUGUUGGAUAAUCUCGAGGUAAAGUAAUAUUUUUGCAAGUUUAUUUACCUAACUUAGUUAAUUAAUACAUGAUGUCAUCAUAAUUUUAUAGAGGUUCGAUAUAGGUCAUGGAUGAUCGUUCAUGGAUGUAUCGAGAUUCACCCCAAGGAUUGCGGAGGAUGGAUUAUUGUAACGGGGUUCAGGGUUUUAUGAAUUUCGCAACAUCUAUUCCUAGAAAUUUUCGUGAUUUGUUGCCAAAGGGAAUAUGGGAUGCACUCACGGAGAUCAGUCAUUUCUUCAGAGAUAUAUGCUCCAGCAAGUUGAAUGUUGAUCACAUUGAGAGGCUUCAAACGAAUAUCGUCGAGACACUAUGCAAACUUGAGAUGAUAUUCCCUCCAUCAUUUUUUGACUCAAUGGAGCAUCUCCCUGUACAUCUACCGUUCGAGGCAAAAGCUGGAGGACCGGUCCAAUAUAGAUGGAUGUACCCAUUCGAAUGGUUAGAUAUUACCGUUGCAAUGUAAUUCAUAUAUAAAAGUAUUUUAUAUGUUUUUCUUAAUUGAAAAUACUUGAUUAAUAUUUCAAUGCAGGUACUUGUUUAAUCUCAAGAAAAAGGUUAAGAACAAGGCGCAUGUUGAGGCUUCGAUAUGUGAGGCCUAUAUUGUUGAGGAGAUCUCAACAUUUAUCUCGUACUAUUUCGAACCUCAUCUGAGAACGAGAAUCAAUCGCGUUCCAAGGCAUGAUGAUGGCGGUGAAGUGCCUUCUAGUGGGAACUUUUCAAUAUUCUCAAAUACUGGACGACCCACACCUAAAAAUGCUGUAAGAGGAAGAUAUUUGACAGAAAUAGAGUUCAAACAAGCACACAACUAUGUUAUAUUUAAUUGUGAUGAGCUGAGACCUUUUAUUCAGUAAGUUUAUACUAAUUAAACUUUGUUAGUAAUAUAUUGUUAAUUAUAUAUUGUAAUAUCAUACACUCAUUAUCACUUGCAGGCAACAUCGUCAAUAUUUGCUCUCCAAUAACUCACAGCUGACCGAAUCCCAGAUCUUUCAAUUACAUGAUGAGCAGUUUGUCACGUGGUUCAGAACACAUGUAAGCACUAUCACAAACUCAUUCUAACUUGCAAAAUUACUGUACGUAUGCAUGUCAUUACGAGAUUCUCGUUCAUUUACUGUUUAUUGAUGUACAUUACAUACAAGGUUUAUCAAAUGGGAAGGAGUGCACCUAAGUCAUUGUCUUCACUAAGCCUGGGGCCUGAAAGAAAAUGUAAGUGCUACAACGGGUAUUUUGUCAAUGGAUAUGUUUUCCAUAAUGAAGAAUACGGGCAAGGAAGAAAGACAUACAACAGCGGUGUUUGUGUUAAGGGAUCCACUAGUAGUGAGUUAGAAGUUGACUACUAUGGUAGAUUAGAAGAGGUUGUCGAACUGCAAUAUCAUAACGAGCAGAAUAUAGUGUUUUUAUUCAAAUGCUAUUGGUAUGACACGACUGACAGAGGAAUCAGAGUUGAUCUGCACUAUGGUCUGGUCGAAAUCAACUCAAAACCUAGACUCCGCAAUAUAAACGAUGUCUUUGUUUUCGCAAAGCAAUGUCAACAAGUUUAUUACACAUACACCCCUUCAUUUAGAAAGGAUCGAUCAAGAGUGGAUUGGUUGUCCAUUUUAAAAACGAAACCCUGGGGUCGUGUCGAGGUUGUUCAGGAUGAGAACGAAGACACAAGUCUGCGAGAUGAAGUCUUUCAAGUUAGUGAAGUGGUUAAACCAUAUCGAGUUGCUCCUUCGAUUGAAUUGGAAGAAAAUUCAAAUUUUCGUGUUUUCAAUGAUAGUCUUGUUGAUGUUGACGCAGAGGAGUUGAAUUUUGUUGCUGUCCAGACAUUUGAACUGUUGAUGUCCAACCGUUGCUGUCUAGACAUUGAACUGUUACUGUCCAACUGUUGAUGUCUGAACACUCAUCAUAUUUUUAACUAUAUCUAAAGUUCUAGAACUCCAUUUUAAGUGACAUUGAUCUCAUUGCAAAGCUAAGACACGAGACUACAAGUUCUCUGAAAGAAGGAGAACCCAGUUCUACCUCCAAGAUAGUCAAAAUUGCUCAUCAACUAAUCAGUCCUACUGCUCUACAGAAACAGUCAUGACUCAGUCUCGGUUGGUAACCCAUAACUGGAGUUCUACAUCUCCAAAUUGAGCAAGAAUAAUUUUCUUGGUUAGCUAACAUCCAAAUCUACAAUUUCUAUGAAGGAACCCGAUCCUAAUUCCCUCAUCCUCCUACCUGAAAUCUCACUGAAAAUUAAGAGACAAGUCUAUCCAGAUUCGUCACCCCCUUCCCUUCACACAAUACUUUCAUAAACUACAUACCACACAUGAAUUAACUUAAUUUUAAUAAUAUGUACUUUUACCCCAAUUCAUGUCUAAGAACCCUAACCUAUAAUUCAAUAUCAAGGCAUCAAUUCAUUAUCGAAUUUGAAAUGAAUUUUUAAGAUCAUGUUUAGAACACCUUACCCGGUACGAAUUAAGAUUUUGAUCUUCAACCAGUUGAAGAUUUUCAACUCCCUCCUUUUUUUUUCUUGUUCAAUUUCUUGUUAAUUCCUUGCUCACAAGUGUUUAUCUCAUCUAUAAACCCUUAAUCUUGGAUGGGUUCUUGAAAUUUUAGUGUUUCUCUCUUGAUUUUGCAAGAAUGGGUAUAAAACUCUCUAUUUUCUCUCCUUAUGGUUCCUGCAGAUUUUUGGUGAGAAGAGAGUAUUUAUACUCUAUAAUUUCUCUUAUUUGCAUUUAGGUCUCAUUUCCUUUAAGUGUAUUGUUCUCUUCAAUUAAAUCCAACCCUCAACAUUACCGGUUUAUUAUAAUGUCUCGAAUUAUUUCGCCAGGAAAUUAUAUUCAAAAAUUUUUGAAUUCCUGUCUUUUAUUUAACCAUACGCAUGAAUUUCUUCACUUUUAUUUCUCACGUAGUUAGUUUUUAAUUUAAGCAACCUUUAUUUAUUUAUUUUUUCCGGGAUUUACAAUAAGAGAAAUUAUGUUGGAAUAGAGAGAGAGAGAGAUUGUGUUUGAAAAGAUAUAAUUUUUAUAUGAUCUUGGGUGUUUUUGAUAUGUAAUAUACAAGGAUAAUUUGGUCUUUUUAUUUUAUUUGAGAAAUUAUUUAGACCUAUAAUGUAAACUAUAAUUUUUAAAAAAGUAUAAGCAAAGUAAAAAAAAAAAAAAAAAGAACUAAACUAUAAUCAAGUUCAUCGAUGUCCUCGCCAACGAUGAACUUGAUUCACCUGGUGGACCAGACAAGUCCGAUGGUGAUCUUGUUACCAUUGAUAGUGUCAAGAUUGAGUUUGUCGUUGAUUGAUCAUGAUGAUGAGCAGGGUUGUGCUAUCACUUUUUUUUUUUAAUCCUGUUUUCUCUUUCUAUGUUAGUAUUCAGUGAGUUUUCUCUUUUUUUUCUUUCAAUUUAAAUACGAUAAUGAUUUCUUAGAUUUAUUCCCCCCUAGAAAAUAAAAAAUAAAAAGUUCAAAAGAAAUCAAUUGUGGUUUCUUUUCUUUAUAAAAAAAAAUCCAUCUUCCUCUAAACUUUUAUGUGUCUGGCUGUGCACCGGGCGAGGUGAGCUUGUAUAGAAAUAUAAGACCUGAAUUGAACAUCUAUCUUAUUCAAUAUAGUAGAUGUAUACGACCUGAAUUAAAUCACCUUGUUCAAAAUUCAAGCACGCUAACCUUAUUAACUUAAAUGUUUUUUUUUAAUUAAAACAUUUUUAUUUUAGAUUUUUUAAAAUGAAAAAUAAAUAUGAUUUUUUAAAAAAAUCUAUUUUUUCAUAAACCAGCUUAAACUAGAUUUCAAAUUAAAAUUACUAAGUUAACCUGAGGUCUUAUAUGACUAGGCCUAUCUGGACAAACAAAAAGUAAAGGACAAAAGUUAUGGGAUGGAAAAGAAAAGGAGAGGACAAAAUGUAUCUUCCCCGUUAAAUUUAUAAUCAUCCUUAGCUUAAAUGUAUUUACCUUUACCAUACUAUAAUACAUUAUCAGGAGUAAAUUAGUCUUGUAUCCUUAAUGUCUUGAAAUAUUUCUUGAGGUUUAUUUUUAUUUAAUUAUUUUACAAUUUUAUAUAUAUAUAUAUAUAUAUAUAUAUAUAUAUUAAGUAAGUUAGUUAUUCUUUUUUUACUCAUGUUUUUUACCAAAAUAAUUUUUAUUAGUAGCGUGUUUGUUUAAUUAAAACUAUAGGUAAUUAAAAUAAUUUCUCUCUCUCUCUUUUUUCUUUUCAGUAUCCUAGAGGCGGCUUGAAAUCCGUGUUCAUGCUUUUUCUUGUUUUUAUUCUCUUUGGUGAGUUUCAAUUUUUCUCUGCUAUCAUAAGUUCAAUUAAUGGGCCCUAUCCCAUUGUUUUCUUUAAAGACUUCAGUAGAUUUGUGACGCCUAGUUAAAGGUCGGAAGAAAUAACUUGCUUUCUCUAUUCAAUAAAAUAAAAUAAUAAAAAAUAAAAAAACCUCUCUCAUUCUUAUCCACGAAGGAAAUGGACAAAAGAUAUGGGGUGGAAAAGAAAAGGAGAAAAGAGAACUAUAUAUAGCUUCUCCAUUUUCAAAUUUAUAUUUUUAUAUUUUCAUAUGCAAAUAUAAAAAUAUGUUGUUAUUAAUUUAUACUUUGCCUUUGAGCAUGGAUAAUACAUUACAUUUCAUGGAAUCGUUACUUUAAUUAAAAACCCAGCAACACCGUGAAGGAAAAAAUAAUAAUAAUAAUAAUAAAAGCAAGAAGAAGAGGAAUAAGAGUGCAAGACCCCGAAAGGUACUUCCUACCUCGUGAAUGAUCUUAUGAGAAAUUGGAAGAUCUCUCCCUUUUUUACACUGACGCCGCGCUUGAUCAUCGCAGGUGGGUUUCCUAAUGCGGCGGUGGACGAGGAGUGUUUCGAUUGAAAAAGAGGAGGUUUUUCCUUCUACUUUUAAGAGAGAAAAAAAAAAGCAAAUUUUAUAAAAUUCUCAUUGCAAUGGACAGAUAAAUAGCCAAUUUUCUACACCUCUCGCCUGUACUACAACAUGAUAUACAGUAUAAUUAGUACAAAAACGCAAGGCAGUACUAUGUUAGAGGUUUUUUGUUUCUUUUUUUCUUUUUU
RNAcentral lists this long non-coding RNA (7253 nucleotides) under Populus trichocarpa (black cottonwood). Its description in RNAcentral is "long non-coding RNA (PTRI_LNC000393)". Lineage: Eukaryota; Viridiplantae; Streptophyta; Magnoliopsida; Malpighiales; Salicaceae. The record is from RNAcentral.